Molecule: RNA transcript, 3299 nt
Organism: Drosophila mojavensis
Lineage: Eukaryota; Metazoa; Arthropoda; Insecta; Diptera; Drosophilidae
Gene name: thyroid transcription factor 1-associated protein 26
Exons: 7
Source: RefSeq, a predicted model, not a curated record
UUUUUCCAUUGUCUAUUAAAAAAUCUUGAGGUAUGGGCCGCAAUUCCGUUAAUCAAUUGAUAAUGAAUACUUAUUACUACUUAACAAGGGUCCAGGUUAAUACUGAGUGACGAAACAACUUAAAUAGUUAUUUUCACACAUUUAUAAUGUAAUUAAAGCAUGAGAAUAGAUUAUGAAAUUAGACAAUUUUACAACUUAUUUAGGUAUAUCGCCUCGCUGUAUAAGAAAUAGUCUUUCGAACGAUUUGAAACUGCGACAAUUUCAGCUCUCAACUAAUAUUCAAAAUGAAAUUCUUCGAGUUGGCAUCUAAUUUUCUUGUAUUCCUCGUUUUAUUCAACGUUGAUGUAUUGAACGAGAAUCAACGCGUUUUAAAUGUAAACAUAGCAGGCCUAACAGUCAACAAUGAUGGUCUACACGUGGGCUAAGGCUAAGCUUGAGAUUGUAAUUAAAUUUGAUGCACGGAAUUAUAUAAAACCAAGUUUCUAUAAAUAAAUAAAUAAUUGCAAAAUCUGUCAUGACCUGUUCUUUUUUAUUAUUAAAAAAAAACUAGCCCUUCAUCAGAGGCCGUAACAUCGUUUAUAAGUCGAUAAUGAAUACUUAUUGCUAUUUUACUGAAGUUUUUUUUCGCUUAUAAUACAAGUUAUGUACGAUAAUUAGUCAAUUUGACAACGCAUUUAAGACGAUCGCUUUGUUGAUUGAGAAAUAGUCGCUCGAGAGAUUUCGAUCUGUAACAAUUUCAGCUCCCAACUGAUAUUCAAAAUGAUGUUCUUCAAGCUGGCAUCUCAUUUUCUUGUACUUCUUACUUUACGAAAUGCUGAUGUAUUGGCAGAGCAGAAUCGCUUUUUACAUAUAAAUGUACCAGACGCAACAAUCCACAAUGGUGGCAUAUACAUAGAUUGGGAUCGUAAAUAAAUUAGAUGCUUGCCGACUGUAUAAAAAGAAGCUUCUAUAAGUAAAUUAAGAUAUUGCAAUGUGAAAUUUUGCGAGGCUUGCUUUUUUUUCAUUGUCUACUAGAAAAUCUUGAGAUAUGGGCCGUAACACCGUUUAACGGUUGAUAAUGAAUACUUAUUGCUAUUUAAGAAGGGUCCAGGGGAAUACUGAGAGACGAAACAGCUCUAAUAAAUAUUUUCACACAUUUAAGCAUGAUAAUUAGGUAAUAAGACAAUUUCUUAACAUAUUGAAGAAUAACGCAUCGAAGUAUAAGAAACAGUCUUUCAAGCGAUUUGAAACUGUGACAACUUCAGCUCUUAGCUAAUUAAAAUGAAAUUCUUCAAGUUGAAGCCCCAUUUUCUCAUAUUCCUUGCUUUACGCAACACUGAAAUAGUAGUAAGCCAAUUUCGCUUUUUAGAUUUAACCGUACCCAUCUUUACAGUCAACGUCGGUGGUAUACACGUAGGCUAAGCUAAUAAGUUAUUUGCAUGGAAUUGUAAAAAACUAGGCUUCGAUAAUAAAAUAUAUAGUUUUUCUAUGUAACAUUAUGUCAGGUCAUAUUUUUUCUCAUUAUUUAUUAAGGAAUCUUGAAGUAAUAAUAAAAAAUAGUAGUUGUUGAUCUUUGGAGCAAGCCGAGGGAAAUACUAACAGCCGAAACAGCUCUAAUAUAUUUUUUUUCACACAUUUUUACGCCCAUAAUGCAAUUUAAGUAUAGCAUACUAGCUUAAAGGUUCUAAACUGUAUUUAAAAAUAUCGGUUCGUUGCAUUAGAUAGUCUUUGAAGCGAUUUCUAAUUGUGACAACGUCAGCUCUCAAGUGAUUUUAAAAUGAAAUUCUUCAAGUCAAAAUCUGCUUUGCUUCUCUUAUUUGUCUUAUGCGUCGGCGCUGUUUCACCAGAGCCGCGUCCCUUUUUUGAUUUAAGCUUUCCACUCUUCACACUCGACAUUGGUGGUAUAACAAUCAACCGAAAAUCAAAAGUUCAACCUUUUCAAUAAAUUUGAUUUAUGGAAUUGUAUAUCAAGUUUUUAUUGAGGAAUGAAGAAUGUGGGAUCAAAUUUCUUCUUUCCGUUAUUUAAUAAUCAUAUUUUAGGUUCUUCUCAAGCUGCUGUAAUAUCGUUAAUAAAUCGAUAAUGAAUAAUUAUUGCUAUUUACCGCAAGUUGAGGGGAAUACUAAGAGGCGAAAAGUCUUUAAUAGUUGUUUUUAGCUUAUAAUACAAUUUAUAUAUGCUAAUUAAGUAAUUGGACAAUUUCACAGCGUAUUAAAGAAUAUCUCUUCGAUGCAAAAGUAAUAGUCUUUCAAGCGACUUCUAAUUGCGACAACGUCAGCUCUCAACUGAUUUUAAAAUGAAAUUCUUCAAGUCAAAAUCUGCUUUGCUUCUAUUCUUUGUUUUAUGCAUCGGUGCUGUUUCACCAGAGCCGCGUCCAUUUCUUGAUUUCAGCUUUCCAGUUCUUUCAGUCGACGUUGGUGGUAUAAAAGUCACUCAAAAAAAGCCAGCUGCACCUUCUCAAUAAAUUCGAUUUAUGGAAUUAUAUGAAAACUAGUUUUUAUUAAGGAAUGCAGAAUGUUGGAUCAAAUUUCCUUGUAAUAUUUUGCUUCUCUCAGUUAGCUAAUAAGCAAAUUUAUAUUCAAGGCUCUUCAGCGGCAUCCGUAUCGUUUAUAAGUCGAUAAUGAACAGUUAUUGCUUUUACAGCAACUAAUUUUCAAAAUGAAAUUCUUGAUUUAUGUGCCAGUCUCUACUAAGGGACUCGGUUGAUUUAGGGACUCAGGACUUGUUUUCUUUCUAUUUAUUAAUUCAAAAUCUUAAGCUACAACAGAGGGCGCAACAUUGCUAAUAUAUCGAUAUUGAAGAGUUAUAUACUAUAGGAAUGCCCAGUGUUUGUGCUAUCGUGUUUGAUGUUGAUCUUUGCGUUGAGAAUACCCGCUGGCUUUCACAUUGGGUUUUUUGUCUUGCCUUGGGAAUUACUUUGCCUUGGGGAAUUACUUUCGCUUUCUUGCUGAACGUUAAUUCCAAGCUGAUAACAGAGAUUAGAAUAAAUAGGUCGUCGCAUUGCUGAUUAAUUUGAAGUCUUCCAGGUGAGCUCAAGCUGUGACAGCUUCAUCUGCCCGCAAACUCCCUAUAUAUUUGCUAAAACAUUCUUACCUAUACUCGAUAUGAAAUACUUUAAGUUUCAGUGGCUUUUUAUUGUUGGCAUCUUUUUGUGCCUCAGCGAUGUUUUGGCAGCACCAAAGCGCAAAGUAAAGCCCCGCUUCAAACUGCCAAAAAUAAAUAUAAAUAUACAUCACAAUAAUAUUCACAUUGGCUAAGCUGCAGUUUGUUUGUUUUGUAUUUAUAUGUAUUCAAAUAAAGUUGUUAAGUGUAUAUAAAUGUU